Molecule: non-coding RNA, 100 nt
Organism: Yarrowia lipolytica
Lineage: Eukaryota; Fungi; Ascomycota; Dipodascomycetes; Dipodascales
Source: Rfam
GGUAUCCUGGCCGAGCGGUCUAAGGCGCCAGGUUAAGGCUAAUACCUUAACGAAUUUCCUGGUCUCUUCGGAGGCGUGAGUUCGAAUCUCACGGAUAUCA